CAUAGUUUUGUUCCAAGUCUCUUGCCCGAUGAUCACUGGUAGAGUUAUCUCCACUUCCAUAUCAAUGGAGUCUCCGAUCAAAAGAGUACUAACUUUCUUUAGUCGAUCAGUAGACAGUUUCAUCUUCUGAAAGGCAUUAUAAAACAGCAUGUGAGCCAAGCUUCCAUUAUCAAUUAAAUUUGUUUAUAUUAUAAUUUGUUAUUAUCAUUGAUAUGACAAUUGUAUCAUUAUGAGGGGUCUAGUUCCCUUGGAGGUCAUCUU
This 261-nucleotide long non-coding RNA is filed under the name Elaeis guineensis (African oil palm). RNAcentral's name for it is "long non-coding RNA (EGUI_LNC063874)". Lineage: Eukaryota; Viridiplantae; Streptophyta; Magnoliopsida; Arecales; Arecaceae. The record is from RNAcentral.